This 285-nucleotide ribosomal RNA is filed under the name uncultured bacterium. RNAcentral describes it as "partial 16S ribosomal RNA". It matches the Rfam family "Bacterial small subunit ribosomal RNA", at positions 491 to 776 of the family's 1533-position model. The record is from RNAcentral.
AGCCCGCUCAGGUGUGCCAGCAGCCGCGGUAAUACAGAGGUCUCAAGCGUUGUUCGGAAUCACUGGGCGUAAAGCGUGCGUAGGCGGUUUCGUAAGUCGUGUGUGAAAGGCGGGGGCUCAACCCCCGGACUGCACAUGAUACUGCGAGACUAGAGUAAUGGAGGGGGAACCGGAAUUCUCGGUGUAGCAGUGAAAUGCGUAGAUAUCGAGAGGAACACUCGUGGCGAAGGCGGGUUCCUGGACAUUAACUGACGCUGAGGCACGAAGGCCAGGGGAGCGAAAGGG